GACGAACGCUGGCGGCAUGCCUAAUACAUGCAAGUCGAACGCUGAAGCUCUCUGCUUGCAGAGAGUGGAUGAGUGGCGAACGGGUGAGUAACACGUGGGGAACCUGCCCAUGAGAGGGGGAUAACAUUCGGAAACGGAUGCUAAUACCGCAUAGGUACAAGACACGCAUGUGUCCUGUAUGAAAGACGGCUUCGGCUGUCGCUCAUGGAUGGCCCCGCGGCGUAUUAGCUAGUUGGUAAGGUAAUGGCUUACCAAGGCAUUGAUACGUAGCCGACCUGAGAGGGUGAUCGGCCACACUGGGACUGAGACACGGCCCAG
Molecule: ribosomal RNA, 318 nt
Filed under: uncultured bacterium
Lineage: Bacteria
Description: bacterial SSU rRNA
Rfam family: Bacterial small subunit ribosomal RNA
Source: RNAcentral